GCUGGCACCUUGACGGUACCUAACCAGAAAGCCACGGCUAACUACGUGCCAGCAGCCGCGGUAAUACGUAGGUGGCAAGCGUUAUCCGGAAUUAUUGGGCGUAAAGCGCGCGCAGGUGGUUUCUUAAGUCUGAUGUGAAAGCCCACGGCUCAACCGUGGAGGGUCAUUGGAAACUGGGAGACUUGAGUGCAGAAGAGGAAAGUGGAAUUCCAUGUGUAGCGGUGAAAUGCGUAGAGAUAUGGAGGAACACCAGUGGCGAAGGCGACUUUCUGGUCUGUAACUGACACUGAGGCGCGAAAGCGUGGGGAGCAAACAGGAUUAGAUACCCUGGUAGUCCACGCCGUAAACGAUGAGUGCUAAGUGUUAGAGGGUUUCCGCCCAUUAGUG
RNAcentral lists this ribosomal RNA (387 nucleotides) under Bacillus subtilis. RNAcentral's name for it is "bacterial SSU rRNA". It matches the Rfam family "Bacterial small subunit ribosomal RNA", at positions 460 to 845 of the family's 1533-position model. Lineage: Bacteria; Bacillati; Bacillota; Bacilli; Caryophanales; Bacillaceae. The record is from RNAcentral.